RNAcentral lists this ribosomal RNA (389 nucleotides) under uncultured bacterium. Its description in RNAcentral is "bacterial SSU rRNA". It matches the Rfam family "Bacterial small subunit ribosomal RNA", at positions 32 to 409 of the family's 1533-position model. The record is from RNAcentral.
AAUCAACGCUGGCGGCGUGCCUCAGACAUGCAAGUCGAACGAUUAAAGCUCUCUUCGGAGAGUGUAUAGAGUGGCGCACGGGUGAGUAACACGUAAGUAAUCUACCCUCGAGUGGGGAAUAACGUUCGGAAACGAACGCUAAUACCGCAUAAUGCAGCGGCACCGCAAGGUGACAGUUGUUAAAGGAGCAAUUCGCUUGAGGAGGAGCUUGCGGCAGAUUAGCUUGUUGGUAAGGUAACGGCUUACCAAGGCUACGAUCUGUAUCCGGUCUUAGAGGACGGUCGGACACACUGACACUGAAUAACGGGUCAGACUCCUACGGGAGGCAGCAGUCGGGAAUUUUGGGUCAAUGGGCGAAAGCCUCGACCCAGCAACGCCGCGUGAAGGAU